Symphalangus syndactylus (siamang) is the source of this 611-nucleotide long non-coding RNA. RefSeq lists it as uncharacterized. The record is from RefSeq and is a predicted model, not a curated record. Lineage: Eukaryota; Metazoa; Chordata; Mammalia; Primates; Hylobatidae.
GCGCCUGUGCUCCCACGCGCUCUCAAUACUUGGAGAAAGAGAGAGAGGAAGAGAGAGAGUGAGAGAGAGAGAGCCCCACACCUCUCGCGAGAGCGUUGGCUCUUUGCAUCGCCCUCUGUCGAAGUGGAGUACUAUUAGCAUGGAACUCUGGUGUUGUUUGACAGAUUACAAAGAGGAUCAUAGAGAUGAGAAGAAAGAGUAGGCUCUGUUGUCCCUCAGACGGCACUGCUGCAGUGCGUCUUCGCACUUAGGCGGAGCGGUAGUGUGAGGAAGCCUCCCGCCAAACAGAUGAGAGAGGAGGAGGAGGAAGGGAGGGGCCAGAGAGAGAAGCGGCUUUCGGGAAGGAAAGUGUGGUCUAGGAGGUGGAAUAGUCCUCUCCAAACUUUGACCUGAGAAUGUCCCUCUAUUUGGAUAUGGAUUACACGAAGUUGAACAUUUUUUGGAAAAAUCCUACCUAGGUAAUGUGUCAUUCUCAGUGCAUCAUGUCAGGCAGCGUAUGAUGCCCAUUUGUCCCAUGAGAUUCUUCAGGCCUGGCCUCCACUUGAAUUUACUUGAAGAGCAUCGAAUACGAAUCUGCAGAAUUUCAGUGAAACUAUAGAGGAAGAAUGGAG